This 122-nucleotide ribosomal RNA is filed under the name Sphenodon punctatus (tuatara). The record is from RNAcentral. Lineage: Eukaryota; Metazoa; Chordata; Lepidosauria; Sphenodontia; Sphenodontidae.
GCCUGCAGCCAUAGCACCUUGUGCUGUGAUCCCAUCACUCUCAAAAGCUAAGCAAGGUCAGGCUGUGUCAGUAAUUGGCUUCCCCAGAGCGCUAGGAACCAGAGGAAACAGUGCUGAUGAUU